RNAcentral lists this non-coding RNA (217 nucleotides) under Paracoccus sp. (in: a-proteobacteria). RNAcentral also lists the same sequence under 1 other name. Lineage: Bacteria; Pseudomonadati; Pseudomonadota; Alphaproteobacteria; Rhodobacterales; Paracoccaceae. The record is from RNAcentral.
GGCAUUUCCGUCCGUGAUGGUUCCCGUGCCGGCCAAGGCCCCGGCAGGGUGAAAAGGGAACGUGGUGAGGUGUAGCCAUCAGGCGCCGAAUCCGCGACUGCCCCCGCAACUGUAAGCGGUAGCCGACCCCAUGAUGCCACUGGCGCCCCCUGCGCCGGGAAGGCGGGGAAGGCCGCGACCCGCAAGUCAGGAGACCUGCCAUCAUGACCUGAACCAA